GAGUUUGAUCGUGGCUCAGGAUGAACGCUAGCGGCAGGCUUAACACAUGCAAGUCGAGGGGCAGCGGGAGGAGUGCUUGCACUUCUUGCCGGCGACCGGCGCACGGGUGAGUAACACGUAUGCAACCUGCCUCCGUCAGGGGGACAACCCGGCGAAAGCCGGGCUAAUCCCGCGUAUAUUCCGUGAGGGCAUCCUUACGGAAGGAAAGGCUUCGGCCGGACGGGGAUGGGCAUGCGGCGCAUUAGGUAGUCGGGGUGUAACGGACCACCGAGCCGACGAUGCGUAGGGGUUCUGAGAGGAAGGUCCCCCAACUGGUACUGAGACACGGACCAGACUCCUACGGGAGCAGCAGUGAGGAAUAUUGGUCAAU
Molecule: ribosomal RNA, 370 nt
Filed under: uncultured bacterium
Lineage: Bacteria
Description: bacterial SSU rRNA
Rfam family: Bacterial small subunit ribosomal RNA
Source: RNAcentral